Molecule: long non-coding RNA, 1757 nt
Filed under: Pavo cristatus (Indian peafowl)
Lineage: Eukaryota; Metazoa; Chordata; Aves; Galliformes; Phasianidae
Description: lncRNA (ENSPSTG00000018576.1)
Source: RNAcentral
AUGGAUCCAAGGCGAUCUCAUGACUUGUAUCCCAGUAAUGGGAUAAAAAAUACAACAAAAAAUGAAAAGAAUUUUGCUGUGUCUAACAUGAAUAACCAGACUAGAUUAAAUCUAAGAAACGGGUCAGUAGCUCCCACCAGAAGCUUCAGUGACUGCUUGGGCUACCCACUCCGCUGCCUACAUGGAUUUGAACGCAGGAUGUGAGAUUGGAUGGAACUUUGGGCAACCUGAUCUAGUGGAAGGUAUCCCUGUUCAUGGCAGGGAGGUUGGAAUGGAAUGACUUCUGUGUGGAUGCUUUCAAUCAUGUGAGUAGCAUAAAUAUUUGCUUUCUGUAUCAUUAACUUCUGUACUAUAAAUGAAGUAUUUUCAUUAAUUCAUUCUGUACUACAGUGGAAGUGAUUUUAUUUAAAUCAUUUUCUAUACCACCUUUUAUAAGUUCCUUCAUAGUUGCACUUAUCUAAACUACAGACCUAGUUCUCACAGAUUUUAUUAUAGUAUUACUCUGAAUGGUUUAAAGUUUAGGAAAACCAAAACUAGGUGUUAUCUAUAAGAGCUUGAAAAACUAGGUAUUAUCUAUAAGAGCUUGCACAUGAUUGCAUCCUUUUCACAAAGCAGUUCAGCUUCAGUCAUUUACUAUUUUUCCUCUUAACUGCAGAGAUAAUAUUGUUCCAGUAAAUUUGUGUGUUAAAACUGGGAGUAUGGACUCAGCCAGACAGUUUUUCAUUUUAGAGUAUUGGUAAUCACUGAAAUGGCUAUUCAGCUAAGUGGUUAUUUCAGUUAAUAAGGCAGAAAUUUAAAACUGAUUUCUCAUAUGAUCCAUCUGUAGGUAGCUCUUCCCUUAGGUUUCUGCAAUUUCACAUUAGUUAAUGAAAUACUAAUACAGUUGUAAAAUGAUAUGACUUAUUUGCUGUGUGAAGCUUCAGUUUCUUCUUUCGAAACAAUGGGGGAAAUGAUUACAGAGAACUUCAGAAUAUAUAUUUAAGCAGUAGUAAGUCAGUAGCAAGUGGCUUAGUUUUAAGAAAUACUGGGGUGGCUUCUUUAGUCACAUUCCCUUACAGAAGUUUCUUGUGGCUACGUGCUGCUAGCUGCAGAACUAAAUUUUCAGAAAUCAGUCCAAUAGUUUUAAUCUCUACAGUUGGCUGUCUGUAUCCACAAGGAACUUGUGUAUGUAAACACAAGAAAAAACUUAAAUUCUGAGGAUAAUUUCAAAUUAAACAAUAACUGGAUUGGAAAGGAUUGGAAAGGAAUGUUGCUCUGUACAGUAAUUUGUUCAUAAUCUCAGUAUUAUAGGGAGUGCUUACCAUUGGACUAGCUGUAAUAGGAUAAGAAGUACAGUAGCCAUUAGAACAAUUUUGCGCGUUCAUAAGAAGUUACUUUUUUUCCUCCUGGAUCUCAGCCUGAUUUACAGAUAUUAGGCCAAAGUAAAAGUAUCUCAGACUUGUAUCCAGUCNAAACUGGGAGCAACCUGCACACCCAAUGUGUGGAUGUGAAUUCUCUCCCUAUUCCUACUUCCGAUGUCUUUUUUUGCUAUUGGAAAUGCUUUAGUUUUAAUAGCAUUGCCUAUAUCCUCAGUUUCCUGGUACGUGAAACAACUAGUUUAUGUCUAGCAUAUGAUCUCCAGUCUUCAAAACAACUUGUCUUUGUUCCUGGUGACUUUGCUCCAGCCUGUUUCUUUCAGAAUUGAUGAUCUAUCUUUAAUGGCAUCAUUAACAAGCCAAAUCUAUUGUUGCCUAAAAACUUCAAAGGCUACAACUCAC